This 4772-nucleotide long non-coding RNA is filed under the name Vigna radiata. RNAcentral's name for it is "long non-coding RNA (VRAD_LNC007881)". The record is from RNAcentral. Lineage: Eukaryota; Viridiplantae; Streptophyta; Magnoliopsida; Fabales; Fabaceae.
AAAAAUUGUUGAACGUGAGCACACCAACCAAACAACAGUUCUAAUAUGCAGAAUGAUCAAAAUCGAUUUCCUAAAUAACCUCACUCAGAUCCCUCUUGUUGCAAGAUCACUUAGUACUUUCCUAAGGUGAUGAAUAUUACUUUCACUGUUCUCUAAGGUAAAAACACUCAGAUCCCUCUUGUUGUGCCUAUCUAAGCUUGACACACCUCACCCAAUCCCUUGGUCUAAGAAUGUAUCAAAACUUGCAUUAAGAAUCAGAACAAUGGGUGGCCAAACUCACAAUCCCAUCCCUGGUGAUUUGCAAAAUCUGGGUUGAUUUAGCUAGUUUGACUGCUGAAAUCCCAUCCCUAGGAUCUUCCAACAACUAGAUCAUGUUCUAAGGCGUACCCCGAAACAAGCUUUAAGUACAAAUCAAACCAUUGGAAAGUAUAAACAUCUGUAGUCACAAUUGCAUACACAACAACAUUCAAAAGGAAAAUUCACAACAAAGUCUAAAAGAGUCACAAAUGUUCAAAUUGCCUUGUGUUGGAACACAAGUCCCCGGCAACGGCGCCAAAAACUUGAUAACUUUUUGGCAAGUAUACCAAAUCGUUACAAGUAAUACAGUGGAUAAGUAAAGUAUCGUUCUCCCAAGGGACUUGUGCAACACCUGACAAUUCUUCCUUUUAUAACUCAAUUAGACAUCAAAAUACACAAAACACUACAAGAAACACAGUUGGUGUGCCAGGAAUUGGUCUUUGACUCACAUUACAGUAACAUCCUGAUAAAAUACGUUCUCUGUUCAAGUAUUCACAUAAGCGUAUCUUGAUUUAAUUCCUUAAAGCAAGUUCUAAAAUUAUCUAUUAAAUUAUUAAUUCCUUAAUUAAUUCAACAGAUAAUUUUGCAUUAAAAUCGGAUGUUUAGAAUGACCAAAAGUACAAAAGCUAUUCCUAGCAUCGUUCCUUUUAGUUUCUUUUCUUACGUUUCUGGUUCUAAAAAUACUUCCCAGUACAAAAGAACCUUUAAAAAAAAUUAUACUUCCGUAUAAUCUAAAGCAAGUCAAGAAAAGAACAAGAACAAGAACAUAUAUUGCACAGGAAAUUUACAUUAAUGUAUUGUCAUACAACCAAUUCCAUUGAACAGAAAAACUAGCCUCUCCUAGACAUCUAAAACGUACUCUUUACAGCAAUUCCUUGCAGAAAGUGAAGUCUUGNUGUCUUGAAGGGUCUCCUGACGGUCUUCUCCAGUUCUCCAGAGCGUUUUUCUAUUUUUCGUGUCAGGAGCCCGUUUCUGCCUGUCUCUCACGUCUCUUUAAGAACCAGUUAAUUUUCAUUAACUUUCACCAUUCGCUCAGCGCACAGAGGCAGAUUCGCUGUGUGAAUUUCAUUUUCUGGUUGCUCUUCAACUGCUGCCAUUCGCUUAGCGCACAUAGUCUGGUGCGCUCUGCGAGAAUUGGCUGACAGCUUCCCAUUUAUACAUCUUUUCCUGAACAAUAUUUUACGAAACAAUCUACUUCCUAUUACAACUUUUCACUGAGUAAUAACAUGAAUAAUUAUAAAAUUGAGAUCAUUUAUAAGUGUAAAAAUAACUCAUUUUCACACUUAUCAAGGAGGAGUGGGAGAGUUUCCCAACACCCCAAACAGCCUCCAAGGGCCUCUCACAGUCUCUCUAGGUAAAGAAUGAAGUGUUGGAGGAGAAGUCCCUCAAAAAUUGCGAGACCCACGUUUAAAUAACCCAUUUUGACAUAUCAGCAAAAAUUCCCGCCUAGCUCGGAUUCCUGGCGCCCAGCGCGACUUUUCACUGCAUCAGAAGUGAGUUACAGGAAGUUUUCGCGCCCAGCGCCACUUUCUGGCGCCCAGCCCCAUUCUCUAGCGCCCAGCCCCAUUCUGUGGCGCCCAGCCUGGAAUCUCUCUGCAACUCUGGCGCCCAGCUUGGAAUUCUGGUGCCCAGCUUGGAUUUCUCUGCAACUCUAGCGCCCUGCUUGGAUUUCUGGCGCCCAGCUCGGGGGUUUUGACAGCAUUCAAAAUUGAGGCUCUUGUGCGAUUCCAAAGGCGUCCAACAUGGGUAUUUGCUUCAAAUUGAUCUUUUAUUGUCCCAAAACAUGUUCCCUUGAGUUCUUGCUUGUUUUCCUCCACUAGAAUUGCUUCCUAUUUCUUUACUUUACACACUCAAACAUAGAGAUUAGAGGUAAAAACAAGCAUAUACUAAAUAAACACAAGAAAUCUAGAAAACAUAUUAAAUGUGAGGAUAAAACAAAGUAAAAGCUAUGAAGGAGUUGAUUUUGCCACUAAAAUGAUGCUUAAAUAAUGGUAAGAAUUAGCAUUAUCAAACUCCCCCAAACUUACAACUUUGCUUGUCCUCAAGCAAAAGUACUUCACCUAGUAAACAAUUCAAUUAUACUAGUCUAGCAACUCAAGUACGUUUAAAUCAAAUAAACAAAAUCAAUCAUGCUUGCUCAGCUUAGAAAUUACAUUCACGAGACAAUAUGGUUUUAGCAAGCUAAACUUCAAUCAUGGUGCUCAUAUUUCAAGAUCACAAGGUAGAUGCAAAUGAUAGAUCAACAAACGUGGCAAGAUGCUUUCAUUGACUGCGUGGACCCAAUCCUCACCGGAGAAAGUGUUUCACUCAAGCACAAUGGUGUAUAAGGAUGUGUGUUUAACUCUCCACUAUCACAGUAUUACACAAAUCAAAUUUGCCAUUUGUUUCAACAAUAUCAAACACAUUCACAAGCAAGUUAGCAUCACAAGGACUUUUUAGCGCUUGUAAUGUGGUUGGGCUAAGAAGAAAAUUUGGUUUUUCUGGACAACAAAGCACCUUGAGCUAAGAGAGAAAACAAUUUACUUCAUGAUAUAACAUUAGUCUCUCUUUUUGCUUCACAAUUGGAUAAACCACUUCUCAACUCAUUUCCCAACUCUUGUUCAUUGAAUGCAUUUUUAUUUCUUUUCUUCUUCUUUCUUCUUUUUCUUUCUUUUUGACUCAUAUUAUUAUUUUCUCAAUGCUCCCUUAUUUCAUAAACUCCCCCAAACUUAAAUCAUUCUCCUCAUCCUAACAUAUAUGCUCAUCUCAACUCAAGGUAAGGAUGUUAAGGAUUUUUCAAUAAGCUUAAGGUUCCAGGGAUGAGAAAGUUUUUCUUCAAGGUUCAAAGGUUUUGCAUUGGCUUUUAGGCUCAAAAAUGUAGAUGAAGUUGAACAACAAGAUGGCCUUGAUCAUUUGUAACAGCAAGCAAAUAGUUCAAAUAGAGAGAAACUCAGGAAAAAUAAACUGUGAAUUCAAAGUAAUAGAACUCAACAAUAAACUUUGGGGCACAACAUCUCACAGGUUUACUCAGGGUUCCAUUGUUUGAUAAACAUCAUGCCAAGAAUAUUGAUCGCAAUUAAAACCAAGCAUUUAUCUAAACAGAUACAAGCAACCACAAUUUNUGUUCAACAAGCUCAACCACAUCAUCUCAAUCAGAUAUUCAAAACAAUUCAANUGUAUAAUGAGCAAACACAAGAGAUUUGUAUUCAAUUCAAGCAUAGCAUAUGAUUCACUCAAAUCACCAGACUAAUUGCAAAAGAAUUAUCCACUAAGCAAGUCAAAAAGAAAUCUAAAACACUAAAACUGGGAAGUCUUUGUGUGCGUUUGGGAAGAGANUGAGUAAGUGGGAUGGUUGGGCAGAGACAAGAGUGGAGAGGGGGCCAGUCUCAAAACCACUUUUCUGCAGAAUCCACGCCCGGGUGCCCUGUAAAAGGCGCCUGAGAGCGAAAAUUAAAUUGGGAUGCAGAAAAAAUUGGCGCUGGGCGCCAUAUAGGCCGCGCUGGGCGCGAGCUUUAAAAUGGAAACCAGCGAAAAAUGGCGUUGGGCGCCAGUUCUGCAUAUUUUCUGCAGAAUUAUGAAGAACUGAGAUUUGGUCCAACUCAACUUUGACUUUUGAUUUUUGACACUUUUAAACACUCAAUUCAGCCCAGAUCAAUGUGUUUCCAUUAUACAAACUUGUUCAAAUCUAUCUAGAGUGAAAUUGAGUGCAAGAAUAGCAAAUCAAAUGUCCACUUCCAAGGCUUUUCAACUCUCCAAUUCAAGAUUUAGAAUUUUUGACAAUAAAAGCACAAGACACAUACCUCAACUCAUCAAACUAACUUAAAACAUGCACUAACACACCAGCAUACAUCAAGGCUGGGUGAAGCACUCGUAAUCAUCACAGAUGAGUACUAUACUCAACAAACCACCAAUGCACACAAGCUCCACAACAAAAGCACAAGUACUAAAACAACUAAUUACCACACACAACAUAUCGAACCUUUUUCAACAAUCAAAACACACAAAAAGAAAAUAAAAAGGGAAAGAAAACGCAAACUCUUUUUGGGCGGACUGACUUGUUGCUCAAAUUCCUCAGCUCCUUGUGUAUUCUUCUUCAUUAACGUUCAUACCUUUUGCUUGCAAGAACACCAAGAAACUCGAACAAACACGUUAGUCCAAUUUUAAUAUAAACCAAGUUUUGAGAAUUGAAAAUUGAAAAACAUAAAGAUAAAAACAAAAGUAACAUAUAGAGAAGUGAAAAAGAAAAAAUGAAAAACACAUACAAAGAGACAAUGAAAAGAAGAAACAAAGCUUGCAUAACAUGAACACAUCAACCAAACAACAAUUCUAAUAUGCAGAAUGAUUGAAGUGGAUUUCCUAAAUAACCUCACUCAGAUCCCUCUUGUUGCAAGAUCACUUAGUACUCUCCUAGGGUGAUGAAUACUACUUUCCCUGUUCUCUAAUGUAAAAACACUCAGAUCCCUCUUGUUGCGCCUAUCUAAGCUUGACACACCUCA